Molecule: ribosomal RNA, 393 nt
Filed under: uncultured bacterium
Lineage: Bacteria
Description: partial 16S ribosomal RNA
Rfam family: Bacterial small subunit ribosomal RNA
Source: RNAcentral
AUACGUAGGGGGCGAGCGUUGUCCGGAAUGAUUGGGCGUAAAGGGCGCGUAGGCGGCGCGGUAAGUCUGGAGUGAAAGUCCUGCUUUCAAGGUGGGAAUUGCUUUGGAUACUGCCGCGCUUGAGUGCAGGAGAGGUUAUCGGAAUUCCCGGUGUAGCGGUGAAACGCGUAGAUAUGCCACAGAACGCCGAUAGCGGAGGCAGCUCGCCAGGCCUGCAUUGACGCUCGGGCACGAAAGCGUGGGGAUCGAACAGGAUUAGAUACCCUGGUAGUCCACGCCGUAAACGAUGGGCGCUCGUCGUCGGCGGCAGACAGUCGGCGGCCAAGCGAAAGCGAUAAGCGCCCCACCUGGGGAGUACGGUCGCAAGGCUGAAACUCAAAUGAAUUGACGGGG